GAGUGCGUAGCUCAGUGGUUAAUAUCUAAAGAGCGUUUGACUGCAGAUCAAAAAUGGUUUAAUGGUCGGGAGUUCGAAAAUUAAUAUCUCCUCGCACUCU
This 100-nucleotide transfer RNA is filed under the name Cryptomonas curvata. RNAcentral's name for it is "tRNA-Cys". It matches the Rfam family "tRNA". Rfam says of the family: Transfer RNA (tRNA) molecules are approximately 80 nucleotides in length. Lineage: Eukaryota; Cryptophyceae; Cryptomonadales; Cryptomonadaceae. The record is from RNAcentral.